GAUCCUGGCUCAGGACAACGCUGGCGGCGUGCCUAACACAUGCAAGUCGAACGAAGCUGCGAUGAAGGAGGCUUCGGCCAAUGGAUUCGUAGACUUAGUGGCGGACGGGUGAGUAAUGCGUGAGCAACCUGCCCUUCAGAGGGGGACAACAGUUGGAAACGACUGCUAAUACCGCAUAAUGUUUUUGGAAGGCAUCUUCCGGGAACCAAAGAUUUAUCGCUGAAGGAUGGGCUCACGUCUGAUUAGCUAGUUGGUGAGGUAACGGCUCACCAAGGCUGCGAUCAGUAGCCGGACUGAGAGGUUGAACGGCCACAUUGGGACUGAGAUACGGCCCAGACUCCUACGGGAGGCAGCAGUGGGGAAUAUUGGGCAAUGGGCGCAAGCCUGACCCAGCAACGCCGCGUGAAGGAAGAAGGCUUUCGGGUUGUAAACUUCUUUAUGAGGAACGAAGGACGUGACGGUACCUCAUGAAUAAGCCACGGCUAACUACGUGCC
This 495-nucleotide ribosomal RNA is filed under the name uncultured organism. RNAcentral's name for it is "SSU rRNA". It matches the Rfam family "Bacterial small subunit ribosomal RNA", at positions 15 to 509 of the family's 1533-position model. The record is from RNAcentral.